This 302-nucleotide long non-coding RNA is filed under the name Gallus gallus (chicken). RNAcentral's name for it is "long non-coding RNA NONGGAT002260". Lineage: Eukaryota; Metazoa; Chordata; Aves; Galliformes; Phasianidae. The record is from RNAcentral.
CGGCUCCCAAAGAGAGGGCAGAUCGUCGUGGCGCUGGGAUGAUCCGAUGCAGUGUCCCGGUGCGGAGACGCUGUUCUGGGAUAUGGGCCUCGUGAGGCCGGAGCUGGUCCGGUCUUGGUUUUCUAAUGAUCUUGCUUCGCCAUGGCAACCAAUAUGGAGGUGCUGGCUCAGCAGGUAAUGGAGACUCAGCAGGUGGCUGAGGAAAUGCACCGUGGUAACAUAGUGUGAUGGUUGUAUCUUGCCACUGGAGAGAUCUCUUCAUCCCAAGAAUUUAUGAAGCUCUGUGAUUUCUUCCUAGCCGG